This 461-nucleotide ribosomal RNA is filed under the name uncultured bacterium. RNAcentral describes it as "partial 16S ribosomal RNA". It matches the Rfam family "Bacterial small subunit ribosomal RNA", at positions 28 to 523 of the family's 1533-position model. The record is from RNAcentral.
GAUGAACGCUGGCGGCGUGCCUAAUACAUGCAAGUCGAGCGGCAGCACGGUCUUCGGACUGGUGGCGAGCGGCGGACGGCUGAGUAACGCGUAGGAACGUACCCCAAAGUGAGGGAUAACUGCUCGAAAGAGUAGCUAAUACCGCAUGUGAUCUAAGGAUUAAAGCUUCGGCGCUUUGGGAACGGUCUGCGUCCGAUUAGCUAGUUGGUGAGGUAAAAGCUCACCAAGGCGACGAUCGGUAGCUGGUCUGAGAGGAUGAUCAGCCAGACUGGGACUGAGACACGGCCCAGACUCCUACGGGAGGCAGCAGUAGGGAAUUUUCCACAAUGGGCGAAAGCCUGAUGGAGCAACGCCGCGUGCAGGAUGAAUGCCUUAGGGUUGUAAACUGCUUUUAUAUGUGACGAAUAUGACGGUAGCAUAUGAAUAAGGAUCGGCUAACUCCGUGCCAGCCGCCGCAGUAA